RNAcentral lists this ribosomal RNA (257 nucleotides) under uncultured bacterium. RNAcentral describes it as "partial small subunit ribosomal RNA". It matches the Rfam family "Bacterial small subunit ribosomal RNA", at positions 27 to 288 of the family's 1533-position model. The record is from RNAcentral.
GGGACGAACGCUGGCGGCGUGCUUAACACAUGCAAGUCGAGCGGAAAGGCCCUUCGGGGUACUCGAGCGGCGAACGGGUGAGUAACACGUGAGUAACCUGCCCUGGACUUUGGGAUAACCCUCGGAAACGGGGGCUAAUACCGGAUAUGACUUGGCCUCGCAUGGGGUUGGGUGGAAAGUUUUUCGGUCUGGGAUGGGCUCGCGGCCUAUCAGCUUGUUGGUGGGGUGAUGGCCUACCAAGGCGACGACGGGUAGCC